Molecule: unclassified non-coding RNA, 1313 nt
Filed under: Hevea brasiliensis (rubber tree)
Lineage: Eukaryota; Viridiplantae; Streptophyta; Magnoliopsida; Malpighiales; Euphorbiaceae
Source: RNAcentral
GAAUUUCUUGGAAACUUGCUUGGCAAAGCAAGAAAACAAGAAUGUAUAACAUAUUUCAAUCUGACAUACAGUAUAUAUUAUAUAUAUAAUAAUGAGACAAAACCAUUAAUAUUGUGAGGUUUAUCAUCUAGUUAAAGAAUGAAAAUGGCUGGAGCCAUUAAAAAAUGCACCUUACUGUGAAAACAUAUUUAAUUGGUUUCUGUUUUCUUUUGUUCCAUGAAGUUAUGUAUCCUCUUCAGUGCAACUUCUAGUGUCUGCUCGCUCAUGUUGGCAAAACACACCCUAAACCAACCUGGUUCAGAGCAAUGGCAAGAAGAUCCAGGAGAUAUAUUCAGCUUCAAGUCAUGAAUAAUAGAGUUCCAAAGACUCAAUUCACCUUCUUUCGUUGGUGUCUUCAAUAAAGGGCUUAAAUUCAUCCAGCAAAAUAACCCAGCAUUACCUUUCAAACACUCUAUCCCUGCACUUCUCAACCCUUGAAUGAUCAUUUCAUACCUUUUCCUCAGUCUCUCUCUAUUUAUCUUAAUAUAAUUCUUGGUGAAUACCUUGUCAGACAACAUGGUAGCCAAAAGAUGUUGUGUUUGCGAGGAAAUCAAGGUGAAGCUAGACAUCUUUCUUGCAGUUGUAACAACCUUGUCAUUGUAGGAAUAUAUAGUUCCAACGCGAAAACCUGGGAGACCAAGAUCUUUUGAAAGACUGUAAACAAUGUGAACUCUUUCUGAAUCUUUAUAUCCACGAGCUUCCAGAAUUUCUGCAAUGCUUACGAAUUCAGAUGAUGAGAAGGUGGAUCCUGAGUAGAUUUCAUCAGACACGAGAUGGAUGUUUUUUUGUGUGGCGAAGUCAAGAAUGUCUUCCAGGACUGAACGCUGGAUUGUGGCACCUAAUGGGUUUGAAGGAUUGGUUAUAAGUACUCCUCUCACUUUGAUGUUCAUGGCUUCUGCAUCUUUAUAAGCAGCUUCCAAGGCUUGAGGAGUGACCUGGAAAUUGUUUGAGCUGUCGCAAUGAAUUGGUACAAUUUUUACACCAGUCCUCCACCUUAAAUCUCUGUCAAAUCCUGGAUAGUAUGGAAUUGGAACUAGCAAAGCAUCCCCGGGAUCAGCUAGAAUGAAGAUCAACAACUCGUUAGCUGCGGUUGCGCCUGCAGUUAGGACUACUCUAUCGGGGUCAAAUUUUGCUCUUCCCCCUCUAAUUUGUUCCAUGAAACUUGCCAUUGCCUGUCUGAAAGAUUUCAGUCCAUGGUAAUCUUGAAACAAGGCAUUCUCUCUGAAGCCAGUCGCUCCUUGUCCCCAGGUAGAUGCUUCAGAAUGCUUUUCCAA